UCAGAGUUGUGCCGCAUCGAUGUUAUGGGAAGUCCGGUGAGAUUCCGGGGCGGGCCCGCCACUGUAAGUCUGACGAAGCUGCCGUGCCACUGAGCGUUUCGGGAAGGGGCAGCCGAGGGUGAAGACGAGCCAGGAGACCGAUCCAUGCGGCAUAGUGCAG
Molecule: non-coding RNA, 160 nt
Filed under: Fretibacterium fastidiosum
Lineage: Bacteria; Thermotogati; Synergistota; Synergistia; Synergistales; Aminobacteriaceae
Also listed under: 1 other name
Source: RNAcentral